Oncorhynchus tshawytscha (Chinook salmon) is the source of this 697-nucleotide long non-coding RNA. NCBI's taxonomy places the organism in Eukaryota, Metazoa, Chordata, Actinopteri, Salmoniformes, Salmonidae. The record is from Ensembl.
UCUCUCUCUCUCACUCCCUUUUAUGCAUCUCUCUCUCUAUAUAAUUGGGUCUAUUAGCUCCUACAGGAGGUCAUGAGCAAUACCUCUAUAGAUGGGUGGGCACAGACUCUAACUGAACUGGCCGUGUGUGUAGACUAAAGUGCAGGGGGGGAAGAGCCACAGGGAAUAGAGUGUUGGGGAGAAACAAGCAUUAAUGCACUAAGAUGGACCUCAGCUCAUGUCUGCAUGCAGCAGGGGCAGGUAGCCUAGUGGUUAGAGGGGGCAGGUAGCCUAGUGGUUAGAGGAGGCAGGUAGCCUAGUGGUUAGAGGAGGCAGGUAGUCUAGUGGUUAGAGGAGGCAGGUAGCCUAGUGGUUAGAGGGGGCAGGUAGCCUAGUGGUUAGAGGAGGCAGGUAGCCUAGUGGUUAGAGGGGGCAGGUAGUCUAGUGGUUAGAGGAGGCAGGUAGCCUAGUGGUUAGAGGGGGCAGGUAGCCUAGUGGUUAGAGGAGGCAGGUAGCCUAGUGGUUAGAGGAGGCAGGUAGCCUAGUGGUUAGAGGGGGCAGGUAGCCUAGUGGUUAGAGGAGGCAGGUAGCCUAGUGGUUAGAGGAGGCAGGUAGCUUGUUGAGCGUUGGACUAGUAACUGAAAGGUUGCUGGAUGGAAUUAAUCUGUCUGGAUCGAAUCCCGAGCUGACAAAGUAGAAAGUGGGCGUUCUGCCCCUG